This 61-nucleotide microRNA precursor is filed under the name Mus spicilegus (steppe mouse). RNAcentral describes it as "miRNA (ENSMSIG00000030493.1)". It matches the Rfam family "mir-320 microRNA precursor family", at positions 11 to 71 of the family's 76-position model. Lineage: Eukaryota; Metazoa; Chordata; Mammalia; Rodentia; Muridae. The record is from RNAcentral.
GCCUUCUCUUCCCGGUUCUUCCCGGAGUCGGGAAAAGCUGGGUUGAGAGGGCGAAAAAGGA